CUCUUAGAUGUUCUGGGCUGCACGCGUGUUACAAUCGGGAGUACAACAAGAUUGCAAAUCCUAGUGGAUGAGUGGUUCUUCGAAAUUUUCUGAAGACUGGGAUAGUUGAUUGAAAUUAUUCAACUCAAACGAGGAAUUCCUUGUAAUUGUAAUUCAUUAUAUUGUAAUGAAUACGUCCCUGCCCUUUGUACACACCGCCCGUCGCUCCUACCGAUUGAACGAUCCGGUGAAUUAUUUGGAGUAGCUCUGGAAGUUGCAGAACUUCCUAUGUCACGAAAUUUUGUAAACCUUAUCGUUUAGAGGAAGGAAAAGUCGUAACA
RNAcentral lists this ribosomal RNA (320 nucleotides) under uncultured eukaryote. RNAcentral describes it as "partial 18S ribosomal RNA". It matches the Rfam family "Eukaryotic small subunit ribosomal RNA", at positions 1470 to 1796 of the family's 1831-position model. The record is from RNAcentral.